GAUGAACGCUGACAGAAUGCUUAACACAUGCAAGUCAACUUGAAUUUGGGUUUUUAACUUAGGUUUGGGUGGCGGACGGGUGAGUAACGCGUAAAGAACUUGCCUCACAGCUAGGGACAACAUUUGGAAACGAAUGCUAAUACCUAAUAUUAUGAUAAUAGGGCAUCCUAUAAUUAUGAAAGCUAUAAGCGCUGAGAGAGAGCUUUGCGUCCCAUUAGCUAGUUGGAGAGGUAACGGCUCACCAAGGCGAUGAUGGGUAGCCGGCCUGAGAGGGUGAUCGGCCACAAGGGGACUGAGACACGGCCCUUACUCCUACGGGAGGCAGCAGUGGGGAAUAUUGGACAAUGGACCGAGAGUCUGAUCCAGCAAUUCUGUGUGCACGAUGAAGUUUUUCGGAAUGUAAAGUGCUUUCAGUUGGGAAGAAACAAAUGACGGUACCAACAGAAGAAGUGACGGCUAAAUACGUG
Molecule: ribosomal RNA, 467 nt
Filed under: uncultured bacterium
Lineage: Bacteria
Description: partial 16S ribosomal RNA
Rfam family: Bacterial small subunit ribosomal RNA
Source: RNAcentral